GAUGAACGCUGGCGGCGUGCCUAAUACAUGCAAGUCGAGCGAACAGACGAGGAGCUUGCUCCUCUGACGUUAGCGGCGGACGGGUGAGUAACACGUGGAUAACCUACCUAUAAGACUGGGAUAACUUCGGGAAACCGGAGCUAAUACCGGAUAAUAUAUUGAACCGCAUGGUUCAAUAGUGAAAGACGGUUUUGCUGUCACUCAUAGAUGGAUCCGCGCCGCAUUAGCUAGUUGGUAAGGUAACGGCUUACCAAGGCGACGAUGCGUAGCCGACCUGAGAGGGUGAUCGGCCACACUGGAACUGAGACACGGUCCAGACUCCUACGGGAGGCAGCAGUAGGGAAUCUUCCGCAAUGGGCGAAAGCCUGACGGAGCAACGCCGCGUGAGUGAUGAAGGUCUUCGGAUCGUAAAACUCUGUUAUUAGGGAAGAACAAAUGUGUAAGUAACUAUGCACGUCUUGACGGUACCUAAUCAGAAAGCCACGGCUAACUACGUG
RNAcentral lists this ribosomal RNA (497 nucleotides) under uncultured bacterium. RNAcentral describes it as "partial 16S ribosomal RNA". It matches the Rfam family "Bacterial small subunit ribosomal RNA", at positions 28 to 507 of the family's 1533-position model. The record is from RNAcentral.